UCCUGCGUAGCUCAGCGGUAGAGUAGGUGGCUGUUAACCACUUGGUCGUUGGUUCGAAUCCAACCGCAGGAGCCA
Molecule: transfer RNA, 75 nt
Filed under: Lentisphaerota bacterium
Lineage: Bacteria; Pseudomonadati; Lentisphaerota
Also listed under: 4 other names
Description: Lentisphaerae bacterium (anaerobic digester metagenome) tRNA-Asn
Rfam family: tRNA
About the family: Transfer RNA (tRNA) molecules are approximately 80 nucleotides in length. Their secondary structure includes four short double-helical elements and three loops (D, anti-codon, and T loops). Further hydrogen bonds mediate the characteristic L-shaped molecular structure. tRNAs have two regions of fundamental functional importance: the anti-codon, which is responsible for specific mRNA codon recognition, and the 3' end, to which the tRNAs corresponding amino acid is attached (by aminoacyl-tRNA synthetases). tRNAs cope with the degeneracy of the genetic code in two manners: having more than one tRNA (with a specific anti-codon) for a particular amino acid; and 'wobble' base-pairing, i.e. permitting non-standard base-pairing at the 3rd anti-codon position.
Source: RNAcentral